Molecule: ribosomal RNA, 301 nt
Filed under: uncultured bacterium
Lineage: Bacteria
Description: partial 16S ribosomal RNA
Rfam family: Bacterial small subunit ribosomal RNA
Source: RNAcentral
CAGUAGCCGCGGUAAUACGAAGGGUGCAAGCGUUAUCCGGAUUUAUUGGGUUUAAAGGGUCCGUAGGCGGAUCUGUAAGUCAGUGGUGAAAUCUCACAGCUUAACUGUGAAACUGCCAUUGAUACUGCAGGUCUUGAGUAAAUUUGAAGUGGCUGGAAUAAGUAGUGUAGCGGUGAAAUGCAUAGAUAUUACUUAGAACACCAAUUGCGAAGGCAGGUCACUAAGAUUUAACUGACGCUGAUGGACGAAAGCGUGGGGAGCGAACAGGAUUAGAUACCCCUGUAGUCCCUGUCUCUUAUCU